This 25-nucleotide ribosomal RNA is filed under the name Yersinia pestis PY-52. RNAcentral describes it as "partial 23S ribosomal RNA". Lineage: Bacteria; Pseudomonadati; Pseudomonadota; Gammaproteobacteria; Enterobacterales; Yersiniaceae. The record is from RNAcentral. RNAcentral also lists the same sequence under 1 other name.
UGCGGUUGGAUCACCUCCUUACCUA